UAGACCAAUGAUAAAAAUGUGUUAUGAGCCAAGAAUUAUGACUAAUAAGAUCUGUGGAUCUGAGGUUUAAA
This 71-nucleotide small nucleolar RNA is filed under the name Pteropus vampyrus (large flying fox). RNAcentral describes it as "Small nucleolar RNA SNORD112 (ENSPVAG00000028526.1)". It matches the Rfam family "Small nucleolar RNA SNORD113/SNORD114 family". Rfam says of the family: The imprinted human domain at 14q32 contains two clusters of tandemly repeated small nucleolar RNAs named 14q(I) and 14q(II) snoRNAs. The record is from RNAcentral. Lineage: Eukaryota; Metazoa; Chordata; Mammalia; Chiroptera; Pteropodidae.